GACGAACGCUGGCGGCGUGCCUAAUACAUGCAAGUUGAGCGCUGAAGGUUGGUACUUGUACCAACUGGAUGAGCAGCGAACGGGUGAGUAACGCGUGGGGAAUCUGCCUUUGAGCGGGGGACAACAUUUGGAAACGAAUGCUAAUACCGCAUAAAAACUUUAAACACAAGUUUUAAGUUUGAAAGAUGCAAUUGCAUCACUCAAAGAUGAUCCCGCGUUGUAUUAGCUAGUUGGUGAGGUAAAGGCUCACCAAGGCGAUGAUACAUAGCCGACCUGAGAGGGUGAUCGGACACAUUGGGACUGAGACACGGCCCAAACUCCUACGGGAGGCAGCAGUAGGGAAUCUUCGGCAAUGGACGAAAGUCUGACCGAGCAACGCCGCGUGAGUGAAGAAGGGUGUCGGAUCGUAAAACUCUGUUGGUAGAGAAGAACGUUGGUGAGAGUGGAAAGCUCAUCAAGUGACGGUAACUACCCAGAAAGGGACGGCUAACUACGUG
This 497-nucleotide ribosomal RNA is filed under the name uncultured bacterium. Its description in RNAcentral is "partial 16S ribosomal RNA". It matches the Rfam family "Bacterial small subunit ribosomal RNA", at positions 28 to 507 of the family's 1533-position model. The record is from RNAcentral.